AGAACAACCGAAGAAAUCCUCAAAUCUGGGAACUAAAGAACAACUCGUUAGAAGUAGGAUUUCGUGAUAAAUUUUUAUAGAUUCUUGGAGAUGAUGAACAAACAAGUAACCGCUGUCCAAAAUCUGUAGCCGCCUAAGCCCAAAACAAAUUUUUGCACUCAAAAAAAAAUAAAAAUAAAAAAUAAAAAAUUUAAAAUCAUUACCCAGCCCAAACCUGAACAGCUCAUCCCCGAUCUCGCUCUGAGUUUCUCCCACAGCUCUCUACUCGUCUCCGUCUCUCGAAAUACCAGGCAUCGCCGACAGCAGCCCUCGAUUGAAUGAUAUAGUCUCAAUUAUUGGGAAACUUCUUCUUCAUUGCUCCGAGAAAGUUGUAUUGGGGAUUUCAUCAGACUGCAUCUGGCUGAAAUUUGUACAAGUUUUGUGGUGGAGGGAAGAAGAUUGAAACUUGGGCUGGGCGAACUUAUAUUUAGGAAGAGCGCGAUCAGUUAUAAUUCAUAUUUUUGUUGAUCGUUAGUAUCCUAUUUCGAUUUUCAGUUAGUAAGAGAGUUUCCUCACCCAAAGGAGAACAGGUUUGU
Long non-coding RNA from Olea europaea var. sylvestris, 575 nucleotides. RefSeq lists it as uncharacterized. Lineage: Eukaryota; Viridiplantae; Streptophyta; Magnoliopsida; Lamiales; Oleaceae. The record is from RefSeq and is a predicted model, not a curated record. The transcript is spliced from 2 exons.